UAGUGACACAUCAAUUUUUAUUGAACAUGAGUGUUUGGCUGGUCACACUGGUCCCAGCAUUUCAGAAUGACUGAGUGUCACUGCGCUGCAUGGUGCAAGCAGGAAAAAGGCGACCAUACACUUACAAUGAGGGUUUAUCAAAUACAACUAAAAAACCCAUAAGGGAAAUACCGAAAGAAACAGGGACAAAUAAGGGAUUAACUAAAACUAUGAAACGAAACAAAGUAAGGAACAAGCAAACACUGGGAACAGGACUGGGCAAAGCAGCAGAGUAACAACCACACUGUAACAUAGGCACAAUGACUCAGCAAAGAACACAAAGAGGGAAGCGCUAAAAUGCAAAACUAACAAGACAUGAUGCAGGGCAGAUGGAAUGACACAAUUAACCAAUCACGGGAGAUGCAAGACAACAAGCAACAGCUGGAGGAACUAACAUUAAUGAACACAGAACCAGGGAACUGUAACAAUCACAAAAACUAGGAACAGGGAUCAGUCCAAAUAAACAGAUGAGGCUAACAAUUCUGGGAAAGGGACAGGAAGCAGCAUACAAGCAGAAUGCAAAAUAUCAAGGAAGAAGCAGGGCAAACCAAAGAAGAACAAACACAAAGACGGGGAAGUAAGAAAACCAGGAAUAAACUGAAAUAAAAUUACAAAAAGAGCUUCCAGAAGUCCUUCCCAAUCAGACCCGCUGGCGUUCUCUACCAGCAGGAGAAGCCCAGCUUGAAAACCUCAUCGAAUGUCCUCUAUGAAGAUUUCAGAUGGGAUGCAAGCGACACAAUGGAAGCCUUGAAUGUGAGAGGUAGUACUAUGUGUUUUGCAAGGUAUUUACAGAGGAACAUGUGGAAUGUGUGCUUUGAGAGACUCACUGUUUGUGAGGAAGAACCUCACCUUAUGUUGGUCAGCUGAGGGUGGGGAAGUUCACUCUACAGCAUGAUCCUGAACUUUCAGGCUUCAAAAGGUCUGUCUCAUUAAUGACUGCGCCACCUGCUGCUCCUGGUCCAAUGCUGAAGUUGUUCUGACUGAAGUUUACCCACAGGUGACAAAAACUCAAAAGUUCAUUGGCUAGGCUAUCUUGGAAGUACAGAGGAAGAUUGUUUCCGAAAAAAAUUGUUGCGCCUUUGUUAUAUUAAUGAACACAUGUUCUCUGGGUUAAUUGUUUAAUAUAAGAGGAUUAUAAAGAACAUCCUUUAACGUCUUGCGAUUAUUUUUUUUUUCCUUCCCGUGUUCUAACAAACAUCGGGGCUGUGGAGCUUAGGAAUGUUUCAAAAUGUCUUAUUUUGCCUCAUUUUGUAAAUACGCUUCGCCGCCUUCUUUGCACAUUAUGUAUAUUAUCAUAAUUUUGAAAGGGAUUUGGAACAACUUUCCGGAACAACUUCCCAUAAACUUGGUUUCGACAUUGGCAGGGACCAAAUCAGGCCCAAACCCCCGCCCCCCUGAACACACACAACUCUCACAAUAUGUCCCUACAAUCCAUACCCAAAUCUACUCCCUUGGACGUCACCUUUAUAAUGAUAAAAUUCUAUUGACAUUUACAAUUAUCUAAAUAUUGUACCUGGCUGAACAACUCGUUCACAUUUUUAAUAUUUCCAAAUUUUCAUUAUUCAAGUAAAAUUCCACUUGUUGAGCCGACUGAGCAGCAAAGAUGAAUGCACGUUUUAGACAGCCUGCAUGUUUUAAAUGUAACUCACACCGUGCCCCAGCCGCCUGGCACGGCCAGCCUGCCGCUUUACCGUCCUGCUGCAGCGGCAUCGUGCCUCUUAAAGCACCGCUUGCCAGGAGCAGCUUCCCCACCGCACCGGAAUGCUGUCAGAUCCUCCAUCUUCUUAAGCUCAUUUACUGGAGGGUGUCCAGCUCUUCAGAAACACUGAACAUCUCUUCGGACCGCUUCCUGCCCUCGGCCAGUGCUGUGUGCUCCCUGAAGCUCCCGUACUAAGGUAUUUACACACAAAAGCCCGUGGCUGGGCCGAGCAUCGCUUCAAAGAUGUAUAAAUAUUCGCUGAAUGUCAGUGACAGUGGAGCUCUAUCUAUCGAUGCGCCAGACUGAUGAAAAACACUGUUCACUUUGCAGCGUUUCUGUAUUUCACCCUGCGAAAAUGCACUGUGUAGGCUACUAUAAAUGCUGCAAAAACUCGGCUUGAGAGUGUUUCAGAUGUGCUUCAGGAUAUUGACAGCGUCAUGCUGUUUCUUAUAUUUGCCACUGGAAUCUACAUAAAAUAACCGUCAUUAGUAAUAAAUUUAGUAUUUCUUACUUUAGUUUUAUUUGAUUCUUAGCCUUCACGGAGACUGUACUUGACCUAAUUAUAACACCAGGGCCUGAUUGGGAGCUGAGCGUUAAACUGAUUUCCUGCAGGCCAGACCCUCUCUUUAGACAUAAAUAUCACACUAAAUUGGAUGUUCUUUUAGAGAAAUGAGAACCUCGAUUGACAGAGAACAGCUGAGAAUACAGCUGAGAGAAUACGCAUGGUUAAGGUUUGCAGAAUCGGGAAUUCGCAUGAAUGCCUCUCUUCACAAUUACUCUGAAAGAUUAACACUGAUUAAUAAAAACUGCAUUAAACGGAUCCUUCAGUGACAUCUGAGGUUGACAAUCUCCAGUAAACUAGGGCUUGCUUCUCUGUUUAAUGCAAUUUUAAUGUAGUGUAACACAGUUUUCCUUCUGUGGCCAGAAACAGGACUAGAUAUGGUUUCGAUGAAUAAGCAACCGUUUUUAUUCGGGAGAUGAUGUUCAAAGCUUGUUGUUAUUGGGAAUAUUUUGUAAAUCUUUGGAUACAUCAUGCUUCUUUGGACUGGAGAGCUCUUAAUUUAUUACACGGUAAAGUUUCCCAGAUCACGCUGAAUAGGGUGGUCCCACAGGGUUGCAUAAUCUCUCGGUCUGACACAGGGCGUCUAAAGACAGGACAUGAAAAGGAGCCUCAGCUUGAUUCUGACUGUGCGGAAUGAGAGAAGUUUGGCCAUGGGCGUACGUGAUUGUGCAGGCGUUCACAUCCAGGCUGACCACAGGCCAAGUCCUUACCCCUGAAACAGACCAUUAAUUGUCAGACCUGCUAAUCGGGAUGCAGACAUAUCUCCCGCACGACUCAAAGGAUCCUGGGAAGGCGUGAUCAUCUUACUCAGUAUGCAUUUGGCCGUGUUGCCAUUCAGUGUGGCUGCAAAGCUUCCGGGUCCUUCCGUUUUGUGCCAGGCACGACUGCUCGUCUGAUGGGAGAUUCUGAAACACUUUUUUUUUGAAGGACCUCUAGAGGUUAGUGACUUGGUCUUGUAAUCCAACAUCCCUACAGAAGACCUCGUGUCCUUCAGCAGGGCUUCGAGCACAAAUCCACACGCUGGUGCCAGGUAAACUUGUAAGCUCUGUAAAUAGCCGUCCUUCACCUCCCACGCUGCUCCAUCUCUCCCCUGGUUUUUUCAAGCUCACUCUCAGCAGUUCAGGAGGUCCUUUUGAGGAACAGGAGGGAAGGAACUCUGGGGUAACCCCUGUUCAUUGCCAGGCAAGCUUGCAAAACAACUUGAUGACACUGGUGAUGCAAGUGAGGUGAGGUGGGUGAGAGCUGGGAAAAAUAAAAUCCAUACUGGCAUCAUUGCUCCCAUUUGGGGAGGCUGAAGGGGCAGUUAGUGAAAUCACUAUGGAGUCCAUAAUUGUACAAACACACUGGAAUUAGAUAAAUAUGCUUUUAUUGUCAAAUAAUCAUUGGCAAUUAUGGGGAGAACAUGCAGCGGGUUUUGUAAGGUAGGUGUAAUAUCAGUUUGUUAAAAAUGCACAGGAGUUUGCUAGGGUAUGGAGAUUCAGGGUCUAGAAGUAAAGCAACACUUCAUAUGAAUUAUCAUCAUCACAGACACACACAAGUUUAUAUUCAUAUGUUUGUAGGGACUUUACAUCUCUAAGGAAAAAACCCUGAUCCCAACAUGACGACCUUAACCCCUACCCAGUGUCAGGGUUAAGUUGUGUGUGUUCCACUCUGUGUCCCUUCCCUGUUUGACCAGCAGCUGUUGCUGGUCAUCCCGUCCCUCCUGUUGUCAGUCGUCGUGUUUUUCCCUGCUACCUGUCGGCCGAAUGGCUCAAUGUAUUAAGCAUGUGGCUCUCUGAACUCCUCUGUCUUGUUUUAAAUACCACCUGCUCUGUUUUUGUAGAUUUUGUUCCAUUGUUUUCCUAUUGUAUCAGUUUUCUAGUCCCUGUGUUUUCAUUUGUAUCCGGUUUUGGUUUUUGCCCUUGUGCCCUUGA
Molecule: long non-coding RNA, 4213 nt
Organism: Brienomyrus brachyistius
Lineage: Eukaryota; Metazoa; Chordata; Actinopteri; Osteoglossiformes; Mormyridae
Exons: 4
Source: RefSeq, a predicted model, not a curated record